Homo sapiens (human) is the source of this 711-nucleotide long non-coding RNA. Lineage: Eukaryota; Metazoa; Chordata; Mammalia; Primates; Hominidae. The record is from Ensembl.
GAUGAAAAGGAAGGGGUGCCGCAGCUUGCACAGAAGGUAUGGGAAUGGCAUUACUGCUUUAUUCUUUGCCUUGGUCUACACAGGAAUAAAGCAAAGAAGAAACUGGUGCCUAAGGUCACACUGAUAAUAGAUGAAGUGAUGGAGCAAGGAUUCAACCGCCAGCAGUUCGGUUCCUCAGCCUGCAGAGUCCUUGGAGAUAUACCAGAGUACAAGGAAGGAAGAGAAUGACAGAAUGGAAAGGGACAUCACCAGGUUUGCAUUGUGAUCACCACGCUAUGCAUCUACAUCCCUGUUGUGAUGCUGUGGUUCAAAUCUGUCAGCAGAACUAAGGCAGGACAAUCACUCCUGCAAUUCUACUUAAAUUGCAAAACAGCAAUGUGGUUUAUUGGAAAAUGUCCAGGUCUGGAGCCUGGCCUGAGUCUUCACCCAAUCACUCACUAGCUGUGCAUCUGUGCUAAUGACUAUAUAUCAGAUGGAUAAUGAAAAAGUCCUGACGUUCAGGAGAUGGCUGAGGAGAAUGUUUGCCUGUGAACAAUGGGGAUACAGGCAAGGCAGAGCACAGCAAGGCACAAAGAUGAAGAUGGUCUGUUCAGUGGGCAAUGGCAGGGGACAGGGACUCCAGAGACUUGCCAGCUGCAAGGCAAUUGAAGGAGAAGGAAAGAGAAGAUAUUUGGAGACAGUAACCACAAUAUGAAAUAUAACAUUUGAAAA